Molecule: long non-coding RNA, 1324 nt
Filed under: Equus caballus (horse)
Lineage: Eukaryota; Metazoa; Chordata; Mammalia; Perissodactyla; Equidae
Description: lncRNA (ENSECAG00000055617.1)
Source: RNAcentral
GUGACACUCCGAAUCUUCUGCAGGAGCUGUUCAAGACGUUGGUGCCCGCCCACUGCCUCGGCUCCAUCUGGUCCGAGCGCGACAACAGGGAACGCGAGUCCCUGGCACCCACCGUCCGUGACACUGUGAUGCACGACAACACCGUGGCCCAAUUGCAUCCUCGUCACCUGCCUUGGGGACGCGAGCAUGACAGCGCAGGACAGGGCCAGGGUGGUUGAGCUGUGGAUCAGGGUGGCUGAGGAGUGUCGAGGCCUCGGGAACUUCUGUUCCCUCCACACAAUCCUUUCUGCCCUGCAGAGCCCUGCCAUUGCCCGUCUCCAAGACAGCUGGGGACAAGUUUCCAGGGAGAGUUCUCGAACCUGGAAGAAGUGGGUCAGGAGAGAGAAACGCGUGAGCAGGGAGCUGCUGGUGCAGGUAACCUGGAGGCUGGAGAUCUGGAAGGAGGCCAGAAGGAGGUGGGAGGGGAGCAUCCCGAGGGGAUCCUAGGAGGUGAGGCUAUGGCAAGGCUCGGCCGAGGCUGGGGGUCAGAGAGCCCGGUGAGGGUGGGGCAGGCCGGGGCCACUCGGCCAGGUCCCCCAAGACACCCUGCCCUCCCCCUCCCUGUCUGUUCAGCUGGGGUCUGGACGCACCCCUGGAGUCCGGAGGUCGGGGCCUUGGUCAGAUUUGGAGCCAGGGCUGGGGUGAAGGCAGCGGGGACAGGGCCUGUAGCUGGCACGGGGAGCAGCCUCUCCCAGUGGCUCUUUGAGCCAGUCACUGCCCCUCUGGGGGCCUCCGUCUCCUCCUCUGGGAAGUGGAGGGAAAUGAUCAGCGGUGCAGGCCUCCCAGCGGGGUGCUACCAUCCAAGGGAAGACAGGAACGCAAGGAGAUUUGUGCCGGCUCCUCCUCGAGAGGUGAGGGGAGAGCAGUGAUGACACGCAGAUGACUCUGAGUCCUCAGGAGACUCCUGGAAGCAGGAGGCGACCUCCGUGUUAAAGACUGCAGAGAGGGCCCGCCAGGGAGCCCAGGAGAGGCAGCGGCAGCAGGUGAGGGUGACUGUGGGGGAGGGGCCCAGGAGUCAGAGGAGAGGGGGCUCCCCCUCCCAGCUGGAGACCUCCUUCAGGAGAGGGGCCUUCCUCCUCAGGUGAAUCUGCUGUGGCUGCCAAGCAUGACGGGCCUGCAGUGGCAGUGAGCAGGAGGAGGCCUGGAAGGGCUGGCAGCAGGGGUGUCAUCCCCUCCCUGGUGACGAUCUUCCAUUCCCUGGAGCUGCUGGAUGCUACGAUGGAGGAUUAUGUGGAGGUGAGUGAGCCCGGAGGUGGGUCCGGGGGCUCAGGCUCCUGAGGCUGGG